This 451-nucleotide ribosomal RNA is filed under the name uncultured bacterium. RNAcentral describes it as "partial 16S ribosomal RNA". It matches the Rfam family "Bacterial small subunit ribosomal RNA", at positions 338 to 794 of the family's 1533-position model. The record is from RNAcentral.
CCUACGGGUGGCAGCAGUGAGGAAUAUUGGGCAAUGCCCGAAAGGGUGACCCAGCAACGCCGCGUGGAGGAUGAAGGCCUUCGGGUUGUAAACUCCUGUUAGAGGGGAAGAAGCCCCGCAAGGGGUUGACGGUACCCUCAGAGGAAGCCCCGGCUAACUACGUGCCAGCAGCCGCGGUAAUACGUAGGGGGCAAGCGUUACUCGGAAUUACUGGGCGUAAAGGGUGUGUAGGCGGCCGAGCAAGUCGAAGAUGAAAUCCCAGGGCUCAACCCUGAAAUUGUUUUCGAUACUGCUUGGCUUGAGGGUAGUGGAGGAGAGCGGAAUUCCCGGUGGAGCGGUAAAAUGCGUAGAUAUCGGGAGGAACACCAGAGGCGAAGGCGGCUCUCUAUGCUACUCCUGACGCUGAGGCACGAAAGCUAGGGGAACAACCGGGAUUAGAUCCCCCGGUAGU